UUGAAAGGGAAACGAUUGAAGUCAGUCGUGCUGGCGCGAAAUCAACCUUCUCGUCGAGAGAUCACAUGGCGUGGCGAGCCUCAAAACCGUCGCGAAGCGUGAACUCUUGGUGAAAUGGAGCACUUUCGUGUCCGCUGGUUAACAUCAAUUUCGAUCGUCAUAAAAAGGCUGGAGGGAUGUGGCUCCUUCGGGAGUGUUAUAACCUUUAGCGGAAUGUGGUGAUCGGGAUUGAGGAUUGCAACGAAUACCUUUAGGGCUGUUCCACCUGGCUUCUCUUUGGCAUCCUGGUGACGACAGCUUGCUGACGUCGUCAGGAUUCGCCUUUGAACAGGUUAGAGUGUGAGCAAAUUCGUUAAGGAUGUUGACGUA
This 369-nucleotide ribosomal RNA is filed under the name uncultured Glomeromycotina. RNAcentral describes it as "eukaryotic LSU rRNA". The record is from RNAcentral. Lineage: Eukaryota; Fungi; Glomeromycota.